AUCCAGUUGACGAGUCUCAAAUAAGACGAAACGCGCGUCAAACUGCAU
RNAcentral lists this non-coding RNA (48 nucleotides) under Schistosoma curassoni. Lineage: Eukaryota; Metazoa; Platyhelminthes; Trematoda; Strigeidida; Schistosomatidae. The record is from RNAcentral.